RNAcentral lists this ribosomal RNA (468 nucleotides) under uncultured bacterium. RNAcentral describes it as "partial 16S ribosomal RNA". It matches the Rfam family "Bacterial small subunit ribosomal RNA", at positions 28 to 507 of the family's 1533-position model. The record is from RNAcentral.
GACGAACGCUGGCGGCGUGCUUAACACAUGCAAGUCGAACGGAAAGGCCCUGCUUUUGUGGGGUGCUCGAGUGGCGAACGGGUGAGUAACACUUGAGUAACCUGCCCUUGACUUUGGGAUAACUUCAGGAAACUGGGGCUAAUACCGGAUAGGAGCUCCUGCUGCAUGGUGGGGGUUGGAAAGUUUCGGCGGUUGGGGAUGGACUCGCGGCUUAUCAGCUUGUUGGUGGGGUAGUGGCUUACCAAGGCUUUGACGGGUAGCCGGCCUGAGAGGGUGACCGGCCACAUUGGGACUGAGAUACGGCCCAGACUCCUACGGGAGGCAGUAGUGGGGAAUAUUGCACAAUGGGCGGAAGCCUGAUGCAGCAACGCCGCGUGCGGGAUGACGGCCUUCGGGUUGUAAACCGCUUUCGCCUGUGACGAAGCGUGAGUGACGGUAAUGGGUAAAGAAGCACCGGCUAACUACGUG